GAGAAAAGCUGAAUCACUCAGCCCAGAGGAAGCCUGAGGAGGCAUAAAGAAGUCUUGGAAAUCCCCUGAAAAAAAGAAUCAGCUGUAGGCUAACCCAAGAAGAAUAAAGCAUCUGCUUCCCUGACAUGCUGCUCCCCCAAAAACAGACUGCCGAUAUGAUUCCAAGGUUCUUAGCACACUGUAUAUUACCUCACUCCUCCUACAGUGGUCUGGAACUGAACUUGCAAUUUCUCCAAGAUAUGUCGGUAUCUCUCUCCAUGCUGUGCUGUGUGGGCUUUGGGAGGGGUGAUGUGGAUCAUUUGAAAUUGUCCUUGCUACCUCUUUAAUGCAUAUUUUUUAUAUUUCUAUGCUCCACCCAAGUGCUGUAGUCUCUCAACUGCCUUCUUUUUGUUCUUCAGCUUUUAUGAAGCUAUUUUCAAGUGUGAGUAGUUGUUCAAAUUCAUGUUUCUUGAGGGAACAAGUGACUUGUUUGUAAGUUGACUUGUAUAUCUUUUUAUAGCUAAGAUUUUAUCCUAUGAUCUUACUAACUCAGGAAUUUUUUGGAGAUUCUUUGCAGUUUUCUAAGUAGAAUAACCAUAUUAUAUUUAUUAUUAUUUUCCUUCUUACUUUGGUUUUAAUUUGCUCUUUUUUUUACAUGUUUUCUGAGAUAGAAACUUAGGUUAUUGAUUCGAUACUCUUAUUCCUUUAUAACAUAUGCAUUUGAUUGUGUAAGUUUUUCUCUAAGCACUGCUUUAGUGCAUCCCACAAAUU
RNAcentral lists this long non-coding RNA (750 nucleotides) under Pongo abelii (Sumatran orangutan). RNAcentral's name for it is "lincRNA". Lineage: Eukaryota; Metazoa; Chordata; Mammalia; Primates; Hominidae. The record is from RNAcentral.